UUCUCCUGGAAACGGGUGGUAAUGCCGGAUGCUCCGACUCCUCGCAUGGGGUGUCGGGAAAGAUUUCAUCGGUAUGGGAUGGGGUCGCGUCCUAUCAGGUAGUCGGCGGGGUAACGGCCCACCGAGCCUACGACGGGUAGCCGGCCUGAGAGGGCGACCGGCCACAUUGGGACUGAGAUACGGCCCAGACUCCUACGGGAGGCAGCAGUGGGGAAUAUUGCACAAUGGGCGCAAGCCUGAUGCAGCGACGCCGCGUGCGGGAUGACGGCCUUCGGGUUGUAAACCGCUUUUGAUCGGGAGCAAGCCUUCGGGUGAGUGUACCUUUCGAAUAAGCACCGGCUAACUACGUGCCAGCAGCCGCGGUAAUACGUAGGGUGCAAGCGUUAUCCGGAAUUAUUGGGCGUAAAGGGCUCGUAGGCGGUUCGUCGCGUCCGGUGUGAAAGUCCAUCGCUUAACGGUGGAUCUGCGCCGGGUACGGGCGGGCUGGAGUGCGGUAGGGGAGACUGGAAUUCCCGGUGUAACGGUGGAAUGUGUAGAUAUCGGGAAGAACACCA
Molecule: ribosomal RNA, 554 nt
Filed under: Bifidobacterium pseudocatenulatum
Lineage: Bacteria; Bacillati; Actinomycetota; Actinomycetes; Bifidobacteriales; Bifidobacteriaceae
Description: bacterial SSU rRNA
Rfam family: Bacterial small subunit ribosomal RNA
Source: RNAcentral